Molecule: ribosomal RNA, 477 nt
Filed under: uncultured bacterium
Lineage: Bacteria
Description: bacterial SSU rRNA
Rfam family: Bacterial small subunit ribosomal RNA
Source: RNAcentral
AUGAACGCUGGCGGCGUGCUUAACACAUGCAAGUCGACGGGAAAUAUUUCAUUGAGACUUCGGUGGAUUUGAUCUAUUUCUAGUGGCGGACGGGUGAGUAACGCGUGGGUAACCUGCCUUAUACAGGGGGGAUAACAGUCAGAAAUGGCUGCUAAUACCGCAUAAGCGCACAGAGCUGCAUGGCUCAGUGUGAAAAACUCCGGUGGUAUAAGAUGGACCCGCGUUGGAUUAGCUGGUUGGUGGGGUAACGGCCCACCAAGGCGACGAUCCAUAGCCGGCCUGAGAGGGUGAACGGCCACAUUGGGACUGAGACACGGCCCAGACUCCUACGGGAGGCAGCAGUGGGGAAUAUUGCACAAUGGAGGAAACUCUGAUGCAGCGACGCCGCGUGAGUGAAGAAGUAAUUCGUUAUGUAAAGCUCUAUCAGCAGGGAAGAUAGUGACGGUACCUGACUAAGAAGCUCCGGCUAAAUACGUG